UCCAGAGGGUGCGAGCGUUAAUCGGAAUUACUGGGCGUAAAGCGCACGUAGGUGGCGACGCAAGUCGGGUGUGAAAGCCUCGGGCUUAACCUGGGAAGUGCAUUAGAGACUGCAUUGCUAGAGUAUGGAAGAGGAAGGCGGAAUUCCCGGUGUAGCGGUGAAAUGCGUAGAUAUCGGGAGGAAUAUCAGUGGCGAAGGCGGCCCUCUGGUCCAGUACUGACACUGAGGUGCGAAAGCGUGGGGAGCAAACAGG
Molecule: ribosomal RNA, 253 nt
Filed under: uncultured bacterium
Lineage: Bacteria
Description: partial 16S ribosomal RNA
Rfam family: Bacterial small subunit ribosomal RNA
Source: RNAcentral